CCCCUGGAGAUGAGCUGUUCUCGUGAGAGCUGGGCCUCUUUCUAAGCCGGCACUCUGAGCACCAUGAUUGUGAAACCCACUGUCGAGAAGCAGGACAAGUUUGAGUCUGGUAUCUCUCGGGCGCUGCUCAAGCUGGAGAUGAACUGAGGUCUCAAGGCUCAGCCAUGGGACCUCAACAUCACCGCCGCCAAGGAAGUUGGAAAGCCAUCAUAAUUUUUGUACCAGUUCCUCAGCUGAAAUCUUUCCAGAAAAUCCAAGUCCGGCUAGUUGGUAAAGUGCCGUGGGAAACAUGUAGUCUUCAGUGCUCAGAGGAGGAUUCUGCCCAAGCCAACCCGGAAAAGCCCCGGAAGCCGCACCCUGACAGCGUGCACGGUGCCAUCCUUGAGGACUUGGUUUUCUCAAUGAAAUUGUGGGUAGGAGGAUCCGGGUGAAACUGGAUAGCAGCUGGCUCAUAAAUGAACAUUUAGACAAAGAAGCAGAACAACGUGGAGCACAAGGCUGAAACAUUUUCUGGUGUGUACAAGAAGCUCACAGGCAAGGAUGUUAAUUUUGAAUUCCCAGAGUUUCAGCUGUAAAGGAAAUGACUGAAUAAAAUGUCAUUCAUAGUAAAAAAAAAAUAAAUAAAAUAAUGUCUGCAUUAA
This is an RNA transcript of Rattus norvegicus (Norway rat), 641 nucleotides long. It is a transcript of the gene named ribosomal protein S7, pseudogene 24, with no coding region annotated. The transcript has a single exon. The record is from RefSeq and is marked validated. NCBI's taxonomy places the organism in Eukaryota, Metazoa, Chordata, Mammalia, Rodentia, Muridae.